RNAcentral lists this long non-coding RNA (6463 nucleotides) under Ananas comosus (pineapple). RNAcentral describes it as "long non-coding RNA (ACOM_LNC004574)". Lineage: Eukaryota; Viridiplantae; Streptophyta; Magnoliopsida; Poales; Bromeliaceae. The record is from RNAcentral.
UAAGAAAAUAGUAAAGCAUUAUUAUUAAAUAUUAUUAAUUAUUAUUAUUAUUAUUUAUUUAAUAAAACUUGGAUGAGAUUGGGAACUGAGCUUUCACUGGCUCGAACGGUGGCGACGGGUGCGAGAGCGCGGAGGCGGGCGAGCGAGGCGGGACGGCGCGAGCUGGUCUAUGGGGCGGAGUGCGCGCGCAGGGCGCGGGCUCGGGCGGCGGGGGACGGGCGGUCCUAGCGGCAUGGUGGCGUGCAGGCUGUGGGGCUGCGAACGGGCGCGGAUGGGGCGAGCCGCCGCUGGAUGGGCGCGAGCCGAAAAAAAAAAAAAAAAAAGAAAAGCUACAGUGCAAAAAUCGGGGUCAUUCCCUUUUUGCACGCGGUCACGAGGUGCAGCAUCACCUCGUGGUCGCAUGGUUCAUGCUCUCUCUCCCUCUUUGAGAUUAUAUAUUAUUAUAGAGAGAGAGGGAAAGAGAGUUAUGGCUGCUGUGCUCAUUAGAUCUUGAGCGUUUUUCGGAUUAUGAAAUUUUCGAGAUCAAAGUCUCGCUCGUUAGAUGUGAUAUAGGAUAUUUAAAGUUUAUAGAAAUAAUUUUUAUAAUUUUUUUUUGAUAUUAUUUAUACAUAUGAUCGCAAAGGGAUUUAAAAUUAAUAUUUUAAUAGUUGAUAUCUGCCGUUUUCAAGUUACGUUGUUUAGAAGUAGUUCAAAUCAAUAAAAUUUUGAUACAAAUUUUUUAUAUUAUUAGCAAUAAGAUCAAUAUUUCUGAUAGAAAAUAUUUAGUACUGAUAAAUUACAUUUUUAUAGGAUUUUUAUUUCUCGGCGAUUAACAAAUUAUUAAUUUGAGAUCUUUCGAUUGUUAAGGUAAUGUAUCGAAGAAUCGCAAAAAUUAUUUUCUACAAACUUCAAAUAACGCUAAUCCAGUCUAACGGAGCCGAUCGUCGAUCAGAAAUUCGUACUAAUUCGAAAACGGAUGGAGCACGAAGGCUCGUGCCUCCUGAAAGCACAACAGUUUGCUAAUAUAUAUAUAUAUAUUAUAUAUAUACUAUUUAUAUAUAUUUUUAAAUAUUAAUUAUAUAUACUAACUUUAAUAUUUUUAUUAUCUUAAAUAUUAAUAAUUUAUUUUGGAAUCAACAAAGAUAGUAUUUUACUUUAAUUAAUUUUUCUUAUUUUUUUAUUUGUAAAUUUACACAUGAUAUAAAUAAAAAAAUAUUAUGUAUUUUUUAAUAUUUAAAUGGAUUUUUAUUUAUUUUAAACUGUUUAUUUAUUUUGAGACCCACUUCUAUCUCUCUUUCUUUAUUUGAUUUUUGUUCUUUUCUAAACCUUCUUAAUUUUAGCAGUGUUAUGGCACAUACAAAAAAUAAAUUUAAAUUAAAAUUUAAAUUUAUGAUUAAUGGAAUUUUGGAAUUUAUUGCUUAGCUUCUAUAUUAUUUAGUUAGUAUUUUUAUCGUUAAUUAUUGCUAAUUAAAUAUUAUAUUUUAAAAACAUUUUGUAGUGUUUUUAUAAUAAGUUUAUAAAUGAUAAUAAUAAUAAUAAUAAUAAUAAUAAUAAUAAUAAUGCUUUACUAUUUUCUUAUAUUUAAUUAAAUGUCCUUGUCCCUUUUGAACUACUCGACUUGGCUUAUAAGCAGUAGUUCCAGAGACUUGUUGUGGUUUGACCUUAGAUGCUUUGUCGCGGUCGCCCUCCAUUAAAUUGAUGAGUGGUCGACAAGGACUUCUGACCCCAUGUGAAUUUAGUAUCUUGUACUCGACUAGUUAGCUUUUUUAUUAGAUGCCGAGAGUAAUUUUCCAAAUUACUUUUCAAUUUAACGUACACGGAAAAGCUUUUGGCGCCCAUAUCCGAAUUCGCUGAAUUGGCAUAGGGCGUGAUUGGUUCCUCUAAAAUCACCUCUAAAAUUUUUUUUCGGUUGGAAAGUGAGAUUCCGAUGUUUGGUGGCUCGUCCGGAAAUUUUUUUUUACGGAUUCUUAGGAAAAGCAUGGUUUUCGUUUUCUAUUCGAAUCUAGCGGAAAACGAAAACGCACGGCGUUGCGCGGCGUAACGCCGCGCGGAGAAAAAGCACGGUCCACCAGGUCCGCUCCACCUCGUGGACUGCAUGAGGAAGGUCCAUGAUGGACCUUGUGCGCGGCUUUGCGCGCGCUUCGCGGGAGUAAAAAGGCGCAGUCCACGAGGUCCACUCCACCUCGUGGACCGCGUGAGGAGAGGUCCAUGAUGGACAUCUCUUUCUGCCCCUCUUAUAUAUAUAUAUAGAGAGAGAGAGAGAAAGAGUUGAGUUAGAAUACUCUCAAAAGCACUAAGAGAUUGGUGUUUUUGAGUUUUUAAUCAUUGGAUGGAGAGAUGUGAGGUUGGGAUGAUGGCGGUAGGUGAUGGUAGGUGAAAUAGUGUUUGAUCUAAAGGUUAUUAGUAAUUAAGAAGUGGAUCUGAGAGUUAAAAACUUAGAAGUACUAAGGGGUUGGUGAUUCUAAAAAUAUUUUAGCUCAAUUCUAUAUGUAUAUAUUAUUUAUAAGUAUUGUUUACAAAUUUAUUUUAUAGUAUUAUAUAUAUAUAUAUAUAUAUUUAAUAUAUACGCUAUUAUAUUAUAGAAUAAUUUCAUAGAUCCCUUCUAGAUACUCUAUUAAUUCACCAAUACCCUUCUUAAAAUUGAUAAACACAAAUACCCACCCUCCAAUAUGUUUUAAAAUAUCAUAAAUCCUCCUCAUCAGUUAAAAUCCGUUAAAUAAUCCAUCUGAAAAGAUUUAAAUUUUCAAAUCCAUUUUUCUUACUCCUUUAUUCCUUAUUAAUAGUAGAGGAAUACUAAUAUGUAUUUUCAAGAUAUUAUUGUAAAUCUAAAUUGAAUGUAUAUUAAUAUAUACAUAUUAAAAUAAAUUAUUAAUAUAUAUUUAAUUAUUAAAAAAAUAUAAAAAAUUAUAUUAUUAAUAUAGUAUGUUUUUAUCUGAUUUUGUUUUGUUUUUAAGUUUUGGAAUUUCGUCAGGUUUCAGUAGUAAUAGUAAUUUUGAAUAAAUUAUAAGAUUUUUUUUUUCCUAUUUAAUCAAAAGUAAAUCACCAUAACUAUUAUCAAGCAUUGUUCCGUGAUUGAAACAAAAAGAAGUUUUGUCAAAAAAGCUAAAUAUAUAUUUAUAUUAGUUUUUUAAUUGAUUUAAUGCAGAUAAAAUUAUCCAAUAUUUGAUUAAAAAAAAUUUUAAGCUUCAACAUUAAAGAAAUAUCGGAUAAUUUCCAUAACAUAUUUUAUUAAAUUUUAUAUAUUAAUUAUUUAUUCGACAAAUAUAAAUAAGCCACUAAUUGUUAAAAUUAUCAAAAAAACUACAAACUCUCAUUUUUCAUACACUGAAAUUAGUUAUAUCUUUUAAAAAACUAAAAGCUAAUGGGAAUAUUCAAACUGAAAAAAAAAAAUAAAGUUAAGAGCCAUAUUUGAAAAUGGCAUAUAGUUGAGGGGUCUCCAUACAUUUUAACUUAAGAAAAUACUUAGGGUAAAUAAGUCAUUUAAAAUUAACCUUAUUUUAAACAUUAAUAUCUAUGGUAAAGCUAACAUAACUAAUAUAAGGUGGUAUUGAUAUAAUUUUUGUGUUUAAAGGAAAUGGGUGAUAUUUUAAAUUUUAUAGGGGCAUCUAUGAUAUUUUAGACUUUGGGAGGGGUAUCCAUGAAAUUGCCCCAUUAUUAUAUUAUAUACUUAUUGUAUAAUAUAUUUUAAAUAUAUUUUAUUUACAAAUAUAAAUUAUAAUAUUAAUAUAUAAUAAUAUAUAAAAUAAAAAAAAUAUAUAUAUAUAUAAUAAUUUUUUAUUUAUAAUUAAUUUUUUCUUUCUUUUUCUUUCUUUUCCUUUCAACCAAACAACCGUAAUAGAAAAUUACUUUUUUUUCCUACAAACCAAAUACUAAGAGCGUAAAAUUAUUUUCCUCUGAAAACUUUUUUUCUACCGAAAAUUUUUUUUUCUGCAGUUUUACGAGGAAGCAAACAACCCCAUACCCAUAGAAUAUUAUUACUGUGAGAGUGCGUUUGGUUCGCGUGGUAUAACAUUAUGAAUUAUUUCGUCAUAAUUAAGUAUCUGAAAAUUUUGAAUCAGAUUACUAUUAGUACUGUAUUAUAGUCUUUGGUUUAAGGCAGUAAUAUAAUACUGGAUUGGAGUGUAUAUAAAAUUACUAUAUUUAAUUUGGUUUAUAAAAUUUAAUAAUUUUAAUAAUAAAAUAUAAUCAUCAUACAGUCUGUUCCUAGCGCAAGUAGCAAAUGACUUGAUGAUUGGCACCUAAGGUUCCAAACUUGAAUUUUUAUUGAUUCACAUUUUUAGCUAAAUUUAUUAUUUUAAAAAAUAAAUGAGCUACCCUUCUACCCUUCUCUCUCAAAAACAAAAUAUAGUCAUCCUACAAAAAGGACAUAAAUAUAGACAUCUACAAAAAGGACAUAUUGAAGGAGUUUAAGAGAGAUUGGAGGAAUAAAUUUAUAAUUUUAUGUAAUAUACAGUAAUCUAGUAUCAUUUUUAAGAUUACACUACCGACCAGAUUACAGACUGAACAAACCAAAUGCAAUAAUUUUGAUAGAAUUACUUAUAAUUAUGCAGGAUAAACUGAACCAAACACGCCCUAGGAUAAUCUUACACUGUGAUGCACCUUACUUUUUCUUAAAAAAAAAAACUUAGUAGUUACCCAACUAGCACCAUAUUCAGUUGUUCGUGAGGUUUAAAUUUUUUCAACCCUUAUCGUCUGUUCCUCCUGUAAGUGGCAAAGAGUUUAGAGGUUGGUAUCCGAAAUCUCAAGUUUAAAUCAUGGUUGAUUUACAUUUCCAAUUAAAUUUAUUUUUUUAAAACGAAACAAGUAACAUGCUAUUUUUCUCUCUCAAAAAAAAAAAGAGAAAGAGUUCAACCCUUUUUCAAAAACUCUUUGUUCUCGUAAGCAAGCUCUACUCUUGAUAGAAUACCUAAAUAUUUUUUCUUUCUUCAGACAAACGAAAAAAAAACAAAAGAAAAAAGGCAUUGAAAGUAGUGGGUUUACUUAACUUGCUCACCGAUCGACCAAACACAAACCUACUGAAACCGACCCAGCAUGACCGCAACAGGAGAUGGGCGAACCCGACACGCCACUCUGGUCUGGGUCCGGCCCACUCCCACCACCCUACCUAUGAUAUGAUUGUAGUUAAAUAUUUUUUUUUUUUUUUUUUUUAAAACAAACAUAUGUUGCUGCUGUGGACGUUACAACACAGAUCAGUAAUCUGAGAUGGAAACGAGUCAACCGAAAAAACAGCUUCUCUCCUAAACUCUUUUAUUAAGUUAUUGUAUAGCCUUGCUUCUAGCUUUCUUUGCUUUUACUUCACUGUUUCAGCUAUUACUAGAGUUAGACGAUUUUUAAUAAAAAAUAAAAUAACUAGACUUUAAACUUAAAAUUUUGAAUACCAACUAUUAAAUUUUUGUUGCUGUAGAGUUGGAGGCGUUUUUGAAACCAUAAUUCAAACAACAAUACAAGUGCACUGGCUCAUCGCGCCCGCGUAUAUAUACUCUUAUGCCUGGUCUGGUAAUACAAUAGCUAAAAAUAUCUACUUUUAUAGUUUAAAAGACUCCACAAGAUUUAAAAGAUUGUAAUCUUUCCUCCUGCAAUACAUAAUUUUUUAAUUUUUAUUUUUUAAAUGUAAAAGCAGAUAAUCGAAAAAAACUUAAUCCCAAACUAAGCAGGUGAUUUUUCAUAAUAUAUAAGUGGGCCCUACAUGCAACAUUAAAUGUAUGCAAUUAAUAAUUAAUUAAUAUAUGGACCUCAAUGAUUCAAAACCACUCCCACCUUCUCUCACUGCUCCAAGGUACCAAAAUUGCAUUAAAUAAUGACGCCAAAAAGUACCAGAAUAAAUGCUUCUUUUUUUAAAAAAAAGAAAAGGCCAAAAUUUCAAAUUCUAAAUUGAUUGGUGAUUCCCGUGACCGUAGUCAAGUAAGAUAUAUUUAUUAAUUAAUUAAUUAAUUCAAAAUAUCUGAAAAAAAUCCAAUCAAAACUAUACAAAUAGUAAAAACUAAUGGUAAGAAAAAGUAGGAAUGUGCUUCGAAUUUAAAAUCGUUUCAAAAUCCAAAGAAUCUCAUCUCAUCCCCUCCACAUUUCCCAGAUCUCGAUCCGGGAACCAAACCCCUAGAUUUCGCCCCGUCGCCCCCAAUCCCGGGGCACAGAAACCCUAAAUCUUAGUGAAAUUGAGCACGGAUCGGGAGGAGGAGGGUGGGGCUUACGAUUACAUGGGGGGCGGAGCGUGGGCGAGGCCAUGGGCGGAGGGGUCGAGGUGGAGCGCGUCCUUGAUCUUGUGGAAGCCAUGGGCGAAGACGCCGAAGCCGAAGACGAAGCCCACGAGGAUGAUGCCGACGACGACGAGGAGGCAGAGGCAACACGAUCGGCUCGGGAAGCAGCACAUCUCCACCGUCCGCUCGAUCUCCCCCACCUCCGCCCAGCACGAAUCACGACGCGCACGAAGAGAGAGAGAGAGAGAGCGAGAGAGAGAGAGGGAGAGAGAGAAUAUUCGUUGUAUCGG